This 259-nucleotide ribosomal RNA is filed under the name uncultured bacterium. Its description in RNAcentral is "partial 16S ribosomal RNA". It matches the Rfam family "Bacterial small subunit ribosomal RNA", at positions 335 to 593 of the family's 1533-position model. The record is from RNAcentral.
ACUCCUACGGGAGGCAGCAGUGGGAAUCUUGCGCAAUGGGCGGAAGCCUGACGCAGCAACGCCGCGUGGGGGAUGACGGCCUUCGGGUUGUAAACCUCUUUCGCGAUCGACGAAGCUCGUACUUCUGGUACGGGUGACGGUAGGUCGAGAAGAAGCACCGGCCAACUACGUGCCAGCAGCCGCGGUAAUACGUAGGGUGCGAGCGUUGUCCGGAAUUAUUGGCGUAAAGAGCUCGGUAAGGCGGUGUGUCGCGUCGGCC